GACGAACGCUGACGGCGUGCCUAAUACAUGCAAGUAGAACGCACAGUUUAUACCGUAGCUUGCUACACCAUAGACUGUGAGUUGCGAACGGGUGAGUAACGCGUAGGUAACCUGCCUGGUAGCGGGGGAUAACUAUUGGAAACGAUAGCUAAUACCGCAUAAUAUUGAUUAUUGCAUGAUAAUUAAUUGAAAGGUGCAAUUGCACCACUACCAGAUGGACCUGCGUUGUAUUAGCUAGUAGGUGAGGUAACGGCUCACCUAGGCGACGAUACAUAGCCGACCUGAGAGGGUGAUCGGCCACACUGGGACUGAGACACGGCCCAGACUCCUACGGGAGGCAGCAGUAGGGAAUCUUCGGCAAUGGACGAAAGUCUGACCGAGCAACGCCGCGUGAGUGAAGAAGGUUUUCGGAUCGUAAAGCUCUGUUGUAAGAGAAGAACGGGUGUGAGAGUGGAAAGUUCACACUGUGACGGUAUCUUACCAGAAAGGGACGGCUAACUACGUG
RNAcentral lists this ribosomal RNA (505 nucleotides) under uncultured bacterium. RNAcentral describes it as "partial 16S ribosomal RNA". It matches the Rfam family "Bacterial small subunit ribosomal RNA", at positions 28 to 507 of the family's 1533-position model. The record is from RNAcentral.